AUAAUGGGUCAGCGACUUAUAUUCUGUAGCAAGGUUAACCGAAUAGGGGAGCCGAAGGGAAACCGAGUCUUAACUGGGCGUUAAGUUGCAGGGUAUAGACCCGAAACCCGGUGAUCUAGCCAUGGGCAGGUUGAAGGUUGGGUAACACUAACUGGAGGACCGAACCGACUAAUGUUGAAAAAUUAGCGGAUGACUUGUGGCUGGGGGUGAAAGGCCAAUCAAACCGGGAGAUAGCUGGUUCUCCCCGAAAGCUAUUUAGGUAGCGCCUCGUGAAUUCAUCUCCGGGGGUAGAGCACUGUUUCGGCAAGGGGGUCAUCCCGACUUACCAACCCGAUGCAAACUGCGAAUACCGGAGAAUGUUAUCACGGGAGACACACGGCGGGUGCUAACGUCCGUCGUGAAGAGGGAAACAACCCAGACCGCCAGCUAAGGUCCCAAAGUCAUGGUUAAGUGGGAAACGAUGUGGGAAGGCCCAGACAGCCAGGAUGUUGGCUUAGAAGCAGCCAUCAUUUAAAGAAAGCGUAAUAGCUCACUGGUCGAGUCGGCCUGCGCGGAAGAUGUAACGGGGCUAAACCAUGCACCGAAGCUGCGGCAGCGACACUAUGUGUUGUUGGGUAGGGGAGCGUUCUGUAAGCCUGUGAAGGUGUACUGUGAGGUAUGCUGGAGGUAUCAGAAGUGCGAAUGCUGACAUA
RNAcentral lists this ribosomal RNA (692 nucleotides) under Escherichia coli. RNAcentral's name for it is "partial 23S ribosomal RNA". It matches the Rfam family "Bacterial large subunit ribosomal RNA", at positions 612 to 1304 of the family's 2925-position model. The record is from RNAcentral. Lineage: Bacteria; Pseudomonadati; Pseudomonadota; Gammaproteobacteria; Enterobacterales; Enterobacteriaceae.